This 45-nucleotide non-coding RNA is filed under the name Trichobilharzia regenti. The record is from RNAcentral. Lineage: Eukaryota; Metazoa; Platyhelminthes; Trematoda; Strigeidida; Schistosomatidae.
AUCCGACCGAUGAGUCCCAAAUAGGACGAAAUGCGCAUCCUGGAU